AUGAACGCUGGCGGCGUGCCUAAUACAUGCAAGUCGAGCGAACGGACGAGAAGCUUGCUUCUCUGAUGUUAGCGGCGGACGGGUGAGUAACACGUGGAUAACCUACCUAUAAGACUGGGAUAACUUCGGGAAACCGGAGCUAAUACCGGAUAAUAUUUUGAACCGCAUGGUUCAAAAGUGAAAGACGGUCUUGCUGUCACUUAUAGAUGGAUCCGCGCUGCAUUAGCUAGUUGGUAAGGUAACGGCUUACCAGGGCAACGAUGCAUAGCCGACCUGAGAGGGUGAUCGGCCACACUGGAACUGAGACACGGUCCAGACUCCUACGGGAGGCAGCAGUAGGGAAUCUUCCGCAAUGGGCGAAAGCCUGACGGAGCAACGCCGCGUGAGUGAUGAAGGUCUUCGGAUCGUAAAACUCUGUUAUUAGGGAAGAACAUAUGUGUAAGUAACUGUGCACAUCUUGACGGUACCUAAUCAGAAAGCCACGGCUAACUACGUG
RNAcentral lists this ribosomal RNA (496 nucleotides) under uncultured bacterium. RNAcentral's name for it is "partial 16S ribosomal RNA". It matches the Rfam family "Bacterial small subunit ribosomal RNA", at positions 29 to 507 of the family's 1533-position model. The record is from RNAcentral.